UACGUAGGUGGCGAGCGUUAUCCGGAUUUAUUGGGUUUAAAGGGAGCGUAGGCGGCUGAUUAAGUCAGCGGUGAAAGGUAGCAGCUUAACUGUUUUACAUGCCGUUGAUACUGGUUAGCUUGAGUUGACAGAAGGCAGAUAGAAUUCCUGAUGUAGCGGUGAAAUGCUUAGAUAUCAGGAGGAAUACCGAUUGCGAAGGCAGUCUGCUGCAGUCACACUGACGCUGAGGCUCGAAGGUGCGGGGAUCAAACAGA
Molecule: ribosomal RNA, 254 nt
Filed under: uncultured bacterium
Lineage: Bacteria
Description: partial 16S ribosomal RNA
Rfam family: Bacterial small subunit ribosomal RNA
Source: RNAcentral